RNAcentral lists this ribosomal RNA (723 nucleotides) under uncultured prokaryote. RNAcentral's name for it is "bacterial SSU rRNA". It matches the Rfam family "Bacterial small subunit ribosomal RNA", at positions 32 to 734 of the family's 1533-position model. The record is from RNAcentral.
AAUAGUUACGGGUUUGUUCCUUCUAUAAUGCAAGUCGAGCGGAUCUUCAUUAGCUUGCUUUUGAAGAUCAGCGGCGGACGGGUGAGUAACACGUGGGCAACCUGCCUGUAAGACUGGGAUAACUUCGGGAAACCGGAGCUAAUACCGGAUAAUCCUUUUCCUCUCAUGAGGAAAAGCUGAAAGACGGUUUCGGCUGUCACUUACAGAUGGGCCCGCGGCGCAUUAGCUAGUUGGUGAGGUAACGGCUCACCAAGGCGACGAUGCGUAGCCGACCUGAGAGGGUGAUCGGCCACACUGGGACUGAGACACGGCCCAGACUCCUACGGGAGGCAGCAGUAGGGAAUCUUCCGCAAUGGACGAAAGUCUGACGGAGCAACGCCGCGUGAGCGAUGAAGGCCUUCGGGUCGUAAAGCUCUGUUGUCAGGGAAGAACAAGUAUCGGAGUAACUGCCGGUACCUUGACGGUACCUGACCAGAAAGCCACGGCUAACUACGUGCCAGCAGCCGCGGUAAUACGUAGGUGGCAAGCGUUGUCCGGAAUUAUUGGGCGUAAAGCGCGCGCAGGCGGUUCCUUAAGUCUGAUGUGAAAGCCCCCGGCUCAACCGGGGAGGGUCAUUGGAAACUGGGGAACUUGAGUGCAGAAGAGGAGAGCGGAAUUCCACGUGUAGCGGUGAAAUGCGUAGAGAUGUGGAGGAACACCAGUGGCGAAGGUGGAUCUUUGGUU